This 459-nucleotide ribosomal RNA is filed under the name uncultured bacterium. Its description in RNAcentral is "partial 16S ribosomal RNA". It matches the Rfam family "Bacterial small subunit ribosomal RNA", at positions 338 to 795 of the family's 1533-position model. The record is from RNAcentral.
CCUACGGGAGGCAGCAGUGAGGAAUAUUGGUCAAUGGGCGAGAGCCUGAACCAGCCAAGUCGCGUGAGGGAAGACGGUCCUAUGGAUUGUAAACCUCUUUUGCCGGGGAGCAAAAAGCGGUACGUGUACCGCAUCGAGAGUACCCGGAGAAAAAGCAUCGGCUAACUCCGUGCCAGCAGCCGCGGUAAUACGGAGGAUGCGAGCGUUAUCCGGAUUUAUUGGGUUUAAAGGGUGCGCAGGCGGAGGUGCAAGUCAGCGGUCAAAUUGCGGGGCUCAACCCCGUACUGCCGUUGAAACUGCAUCCCUUGAGUGCGCGAGAAGUAUGCGGAAUGCGUGGUGUAGCGGUGAAAUGCAUAGAUAUCACGCAGAACUCCGAUUGCGAAGGCAGCAUACCGGCGCGCAACUGACGCUCAUGCACGAAAGCGUGGGUAUCGAACAGGAUUAGAUACCCGAGUAGUC